Loxodonta africana (African savanna elephant) is the source of this 828-nucleotide long non-coding RNA. RefSeq lists it as uncharacterized. The record is from RefSeq and is a predicted model, not a curated record. Lineage: Eukaryota; Metazoa; Chordata; Mammalia; Proboscidea; Elephantidae. The transcript is spliced from 4 exons.
GCCAGGGAGGCCCUAGAGAUGGUUUACACCAUUCCCAUGGCCAUGAAGACCCAGUAGGCACUGCUUCUGCUGCCACCCCAGCUACAGACCAGAGUGACCCCACACAUGGCACCACAGAGACCCUAUGCUUGGCCCAGAGCAAAGGAGGUGCUGCCUUUCUCAGAGUCUGUGAACAUUUUUCAGCAUCUGACAUGUAAAAAAGAAAGUGAGAAUAUUUCUGCACACCUGUGUGAUCUGGAAGAGUCUGCUCAGUUCUGGGAACCUCAAAACAAGAAAAAGAUUCUAGUAAGUCUCUGUUUCCUAAAUGAAAAUAUAAUGAUGUUUAAGAACUGGAUUGAAGAGCAGGAAAAAAAGAACCCUUCAAGUCAUUGAGUUUGAGUAUGGAGAUGUCCAUUGUGAAAAGGUUCAUCUGCAAUCAGGGCUGGAUAAGCCCAAUGGCCAAGUUCAAGAUUGGAUGCAAAGAGUGUAUUUCAAGAAUUCCACACUUGAGUUUGCAAGGUGUACAUGGAAGCAAUUUGGCCCAUUAUCUGAAAACCUCUUUUCACCGCAAAUGAGUGACUUGGUUCAUCCUGUGUCCCUGAAAUUCAGGGCUGGAACUAAGGUGAGAUGGGUUCACCUCAGAAGAAAAACUUGGAGGAGUGAUUAAAAAAAAAUCACUAGUAAUCAAGAUAAAUGGUAUUUCAAUGUAAUAUUCUUAAGAAUCAAAAUUAAUGCAAAAAUCCGUGGUGAAUAAAAUAUCAAAAUAUUGAAUCAUGACGGGCUCAGUAUGAAUUUUUGAGAAGUUGUCUGGUUCUGUGGUUAAGAGAUCCCCUGAGCACACGGGUCACU